This 253-nucleotide ribosomal RNA is filed under the name uncultured bacterium. RNAcentral's name for it is "partial 16S ribosomal RNA". It matches the Rfam family "Bacterial small subunit ribosomal RNA", at positions 524 to 776 of the family's 1533-position model. The record is from RNAcentral.
GACGGAGGAUGCAAGCGUUAUCCGGAAUGAUUGGGCGUAAAGCGUCCGCAGGUGGCAGUUCAAGUCUGCUGUCAAAUACCGGGGCUUAACUUCGGAAAGGCAGUGGAAACUGAACAGCUAGAGUAUGAUAGGGGCAGAGGGAAUUCCUGGUGUAGCGGUGAAAUGCGUAGAGAUCAGGAAGAACAUCGGUGGCGAAGGCGCUCUGCUGGACCAUAACUGACACUCAGGGACGAAAGCUAGGGGAGCGAAUGGG